This 75-nucleotide transfer RNA is filed under the name Candidatus Microgenomates bacterium. RNAcentral's name for it is "tRNA-Ala". It matches the Rfam family "tRNA". Rfam says of the family: Transfer RNA (tRNA) molecules are approximately 80 nucleotides in length. Their secondary structure includes four short double-helical elements and three loops (D, anti-codon, and T loops). The record is from RNAcentral. Lineage: Bacteria; Candidatus Microgenomatota.
GGGCCUGUAGCUCAGUUUGGCUAGAGCACAUCGCUGGCAGCGAUGGGGUCAGGGGUUCAAACCCCCUCAGGUCCA